Molecule: ribosomal RNA, 251 nt
Filed under: uncultured bacterium
Lineage: Bacteria
Description: partial 16S ribosomal RNA
Rfam family: Bacterial small subunit ribosomal RNA
Source: RNAcentral
GACGGGGGGGGCAAGUGUUCUUCGGAAUGACGGGGGGUAAAGGGCACGUAGGCGGUGAAUCGGGUUGAAAGUGAAAGUCGCCAAAAAGUGGCGGAAUGCUCUCGAAACCAAUUCACUUGAGUGAGACAGAGGAGAGUGGAAUUUCGUGUGUAGGGGUGAAAUCCGUAGAUCUACGAAGGAACGCCAAAAGCGAAGGCAGCUCUCUGGGUCCCUACCGACGCUGGGGUGCGAAAGCAUGGGGAGCGAACAGG